This is a long non-coding RNA of Alnus glutinosa, 1293 nucleotides long. RefSeq lists it as uncharacterized. The transcript is spliced from 4 exons. The record is from RefSeq and is a predicted model, not a curated record. NCBI's taxonomy places the organism in Eukaryota, Viridiplantae, Streptophyta, Magnoliopsida, Fagales, Betulaceae.
CUUUUAUUGUUAAUUAUUUGAUUUUAGUUUUUUAGUUUUCUUCCUAGAUAACAUUGUCAAAGUCAAAUGCAGUUGCUGUAAAUGCACUCAAAUUGGAUCUUGUGCUUCUAGUAAUUGAGCUUCAAGUGGUAUUUUGUCUAAUGAUGGACAUUCAUUUACUUGUUUUUUUUUUUUUUUUUCAUGAAUGCAGACAGAUGAAAUAAGACAGGAAUUUGAUGAAGAUAUGUCCAUCCUGCGUGCUUUCUCAAUUGUUUUUGAAAGGAGGCCAGAAUUGAGGAAGCUAAUUGGAGCAAGAUAUUUCAACAAAGGCUAUGUUUCGUAUUCGGGGCCACUCAACUCUUUAUUUGAAACGGCACUUGACCAUGAAGGUCAUGGCAAAGAUAUUAAAUCAAGUGGCUAGGUGGAAUGGCACAAAGGUUGCCGUAAAGAGACUUGACAAGGACAGCUAUUCAGACCCUGAAAGCAUACAUUGGACAUAGUGGCAUAAAAUCCAGAUAAAUUCUGAGUUGUUGCACUUGCAGCUGGUUCAAAUGUAACUCUUCUUGCAUAUCAGGUAAUAGUCUGAUACAUAACAUGUCAUAGAACUUGCAAUGGUUUUGUUUUUUCAAUUUACAGCAAGCAUUAAAUUUUAGGGAAAUUAUGUCACAAACCCCUUGUGCUUUCGUGACUUUUGACAUUAAAACCUCAGUUUUCAAUUUGAUGAAAUCAAGAAUCACAUGUUAAAUAUUUGUAAAUCGAUAACUUCUUUAGUUCUUUUGACUCUUAGUUUCAGAUUCGGCUUUCCUCAACCCUGCAAUUUCGCCUUCCUCGAUACCCUAAAUCUCCGAUCCAUCAUGUAAGUCUUUUAGUUUAGUGUAGAUGCAGUUCUGUCAAAAAGGUUCUAUUUUUUGAGAAGCUAGAUAUUGUUACUCAUGGUGAAAAUAAGGGUCAAGAAAUGGAAAUUGCAAACCAAAAAGUAUAGCAGGUUCUGAGAUCAAUAACAACAAGGGGUGAUGACAUAAUUUACCCUAAAUUUUAACAAGACAGUUUGACCCGUGUCGCUUGACUUUUUUACUCACUUGAGUAUGAUCUUGCUUUAACCACUGGUGGGUCUCAUUUUUCACUUUGUAGUUGCUCAUGCAAGUGCGGUAAUAUUUGUGAGAAAAAUUCAUAUGUUUGUGGGUCAGGAAUGUAACAAUCCAAGAACAUAAAUUUGGAUUUUAUGGUUCUACUUGGUUACUAAGAACUUGUCGAGAUAAUGAAGGGAGUUUUGAAUCUUUCUAUGUUUUUGUUUUUUUCAUCUAGAUUACUUGU